This 407-nucleotide ribosomal RNA is filed under the name uncultured bacterium. RNAcentral describes it as "partial 16S ribosomal RNA". It matches the Rfam family "Bacterial small subunit ribosomal RNA", at positions 30 to 526 of the family's 1533-position model. The record is from RNAcentral.
AUCGAACGCUAGCGGGAUGCUUUACACAUGAAAGUCGAAUUGAGUGACGGACGGGUGAGUAAUAUAUCGGAACGUGCCCGGUAGCGGGGGUUAACUACUUGGAAGAGUAGCUAAUACCGCCUACUAUUUUAUUUGCCGCUAACGGAUUAGCUAGAUGGUGGGGUAACGGCUAACCAAGGUAAAGAUCCGUAGCUUGUUUGAGAGGCAGACCCGCCAAACGGGGACUGAGACACGGCCCAGACUCCUACGGGAGGCAGCAGUGGGGAAUUUUGGACAAUGGGGGAAACCCUUAUCCAGCCAUCCCGCGUGUAUGAUGAAGGCCUUCGGGUUGUAAAGUACUUUUGGCAGAGAAGCGGUAUCUGCAGAAUAAGCACCGGCUAACUACGUGCCAGCAGCCGCGGUAAUUC